UCAUCCAACAUUUUUCACCCUAUAAACUGUAAUGUAAACUUCAAUUUUAGUCAAGUCUUUAUAAAUAUUAAAGUUAAUUUUUCUUUGUUAUUUAUUUUAAGUUAACUUCAUACUUACGGUUACUCUACUUAAAUUAAGAACAGGAACGUUAAUAAUCGUUAUUGAGCGCUUUUUAAAAAAAUAAACAAAUUAUAGAGGGUUACCGUACUGUAGAAUUAAAUUUUCUAAUCCAUAAACGUCACUACACUAAUAGUAAAGACAUUUAUAACCAUAUCAAUUUCUGUUGUUUUACAAUUUUCGUGAAACUACUACUUUCAUACUAAAGUUGAAAUUUGAUGUCUCAUCAUGAGUGACUCAAAUUCGGGUUCAAAGAGGGGAAGGGGAUCAUCGUUUUGGCGUGGAAGGGGAAAUUGGAGAGGAAGAGGAAAUUGGAAAGCGCGAGGAAACUGGAGGGGUAGAGGGAAUGGAGGCUACAACAGACCAAACAACACAAACGACCGAGAACAAGUUAAUGAUGGAAUUCAGUGCUCGCCUGAGGAGUCGUACACAACGCCCACAGAGCUCACCAAACAGAUUGCCAUCGACAGACUGUUCACUCCAAUACCAGGCUGCUACAAAGCAUGGAAGCUGUAUUUUCCUAUGGAAGAGUAUAACACAGCUUCGCCAACAGUUAACAAAAUAAAAUCGUUCGAGAAGUACAUCAAUAAAAACAAAGAUCUGUUCAUCAUUUCUGAAAUUGAGAAAAGGAAAGCCUUCAAUCUAGAUCUGAAAGUUUUGAAAAGAGACGUCGAAUUUAUGGACGACUGGUCAGAUUUCGAAGAGAACUUAUCCAAUCAGCCUGAUCUCUCUCUUAAUUGUCUGUCCCUUGCUAUGCAUCAGUUUGUUUUGACUCAUAUGGAAAAAGAACUUGAAGAAGAGAAUGUGGUAACAGAAAUAAGUCUUCCAAUGAUAAAAGUGAGACUCAUCAAUUACGAGCCAGUGGUGCAGAUGAAGCAUUUGACCGCUAAUACAUACGGUAAACUGGUAGCAAUUGAGGGCACAGUGAUCCGUGUGGGGCAGAUGAAGCUAUUGUGCGCAUGGCUUGCGUUUGGCUGCAAACGGUGUGCGCAUGUGCAGUGCGUGGCGCAGACAGACGGCGCAUGCACCCUCCCCACCUCAUGUCUGCAGGCCACCUGUCAGUCGCGAUCAUUCACGCCGCUCUACUCGUCGCCCUACACGCAGACUGUCAACUGGCAAACUGUCAAGCUCCAGGAGAUACUUGCUGAUGAUCAGAGGGACAGAGGCAGAGUGCCUAGAACAGUUGAGUGUGAACUCAAUGACGAACUGGUUGAUUGCUGCUCCCCUGGUGAUGUUGUUUCAAUCACUGGAAUCGUUAAAAUACGCAGCAGUGAUGAAAGCUCAUAUAGAAAAAGUAAAGCACCAAGUGUCUACCUGAUUUAUAUUGAAGGUAAAUCCGUUUUGAACACGAAGAAUUAUUCAUCUGCACCUAAGCAAAGUAGUGAUGUCGAAUUCACUACAAACGACUACUAUGCAAUUCAGGAGUUGCAAGCGAACGCACAGCUGUUUCGGCUGGCGGUGAACUCGCUGUGUCCUUCGAUCUACGGCCACGAAAUGGUGAAAGCGGGACUGCUGUUGGGCCUGCUGGGGGGUGCAGGGGGCUGCCGGAGGGGGGACUCCCACAUACUCGUGGUCGGUGACCCCGGGCUGGGAAAGUCACAGAUGCUACAGGCUUGCUCCAUGAUAGCUCCCCGAGGAGUUUAUGUGUGCGGCAACACUAGUACGUCAUCUGGACUAACAGUGACCCUGACGCGGGAGGGUGGAGGCAAUUUUGCACUGGAAGCCGGAGCUCUUGUGCUGGCAGACCAAGGCUGCUGUUGCAUUGAUGAGUUCGACAAAAUGUCAUCUCAACAUCAGGCUCUGCUGGAAGCAAUGGAACAGCAAGUGAUCAGCAUCACGAAGGCGGGCAUAAUUUGCACGCUGCCAGCUCGAACAUCCAUCUUGGCAGCAGCCAAUCCGGUUGGCGGCCAUUACAAUCGGGCAAAAACUGUUUCAGAAAACUUACGACUCGGAUCUGCUCUACUGUCCAGAUUUGACCUGGUUUUCAUUCUUCAAGAUCGACCAGAUGAGUACUUGGAUACCCUUCUAUCUGAGCAUGUGAUGUCUCUCUACUCAAAUCUGAAACAUUCGAGUAACGCAGAUGAGACUUCCUCGUUUGUCGGCAGCAUGUCGUGCACUGAACCCGAUGUAUUCAAUCCAAAUGUUCCACUCAGUAAACGGUUAAAACUGUGUCCCGGAGAAGAGAUCAGUCCCAUAUCAGCAGUGCUGCUGAGGAAAUACAUCGCUUAUGCUAAGAAGUACAUUCCUUCUCCUGAGCUGUCGGCGGAGGCGGCAACCGUGCUACAGAAUUUCUACUUGGAGCUGAGGAGACAGCAUCAGACUCUCGAUGCCACGCCCAUCACAACUCGUCAGCUCGAAUCGCUUAUUCGACUAACACAGGCUAGAGCCAAACUGGAGCUACGAGAAAUAGCGACUGCUUUGGAUGCCAUCGAAGUGGUGGAGCUGAUGCGAUGGAGCAUGGUGGACACAUUCACCACCGAUAUUGGCGGUCUCGAUUUCCAGCGAUCCCAGCAUGGCUCUGGAAUGAGCUCGAGGAAUCAAGCCAAACGUUUCAUAAGUGUUCUACAAAGACAAGCGGACCACAAAGGCAGUUCAAUGUUUAGUGUUGAUGAGAUGAAAGACACGGCCGCCACAAACAAUAUUGUAGUCAACGAUUUCUUCGCUUUCCUCUCAUCCUUGAACAAUCAUGGAUUUCUCAUAAAAAAGGGCAAAAAUCAGUAUCAGCUACUGAGCGUGGACUAUUAGUUGGCUGGUUCAGAAUAACACUCGUACUGUUUGGCAGUUUGAAAUCAUGUUGCAGUCGAUGGGAAGUUUGGCAGUUUGCGUUAACAAGAAACUGAGAUCUGGCCUUCGUUCGUAGACGUUGGACAGCGGAAGUGAUAAGAUUAUCUCUGAUGAUAAAGUAUCGGUUGGUAAGUCUACUGAAUUCUCUCUAUCAUUGGAAGAUAAGCUAAUGACUAUUUUCAACGAAAUUAAAGGUGUAAAACAAGAGAAGUUGGACAUUAUUAAGUCUAUUGAAGACAUUCAGCUUUUUGAUGAUGACUUCGCGAAAAUUUGAAAAGCCACGAUGCCAAAUUACCUGAACACCGCUCAGCCGAUUUCAAUGAUAAAAUAAUUUACUUUUAGAUUAGUUAGUUAGAAUUUUGUUUUAUUUGAUUGUAAUGACUUGUGUUAUAAUGUCAAAAUAAGUAAUAUUAUUUCAUAUUGAUUAUUUGAAGUGAAAUCUUUGAUUUGAUAUUAUUUACAUAGUCCUACCAAUAGUUACGAGAUUCUAUAAUUUUUUAAAUCAUUAAACAACCUUGAAUUUAUGGCACUGGUGCUAACUGGUACAGUACCUACUGUAUUUAUCUGCUUCUUCAUUACUCUAAACAUUUACUAUGUCUUGUUCUUUACUGUUCAUUCUUGAAGUACACGACUAUCACAUUGCGAUGCCAGCUCUUCAAUAGUCAGUAUUCCUCCCCCCCCCCCCAACAACAUGGUUGUUGUACAAAAACAGUAUGUUGUAUACGCUAUAUAUUAAUCACAAAUACAAAUGAGUAUGGGUUUCAAUUGAAAAUUCCUAUCGAGCUGAUUAAUUAAUAGCGCUUCCAUUCAAAUACCAUUAACUCAUUAGAAGAGCAAAUAAUUCUAUUUUUUUAAUACACAUUGAUACAUUUAUGCACCGGUCUGGUAGUUGAACGUUGAAAUUAGAUGAUUAUAGUGGUCUUCUCAAAACUAAAUUAUUUUCAUUAUUGAAAGCGUUUUAAAAAAUAAAAGAACGUUCUAUUAAAAUAGCUUUAUUUCAACAGCCGUUGAGUCAUAUCAGGCCCUGAAAUCGAUUAGGUACAACCUGAAUAGAUACUACAGAUCUGAGCGAGCCAGGUUACUCUUUACUUUUAUUUUUGUAUCCUAAUUCUAUUGGU
Molecule: RNA transcript, 4019 nt
Organism: Nilaparvata lugens (brown planthopper)
Lineage: Eukaryota; Metazoa; Arthropoda; Insecta; Hemiptera; Delphacidae
Gene: rec
Gene name: DNA helicase MCM8
Exons: 17
Source: RefSeq, a predicted model, not a curated record